RNAcentral lists this ribosomal RNA (510 nucleotides) under uncultured bacterium. RNAcentral describes it as "bacterial SSU rRNA". It matches the Rfam family "Bacterial small subunit ribosomal RNA", at positions 66 to 570 of the family's 1533-position model. The record is from RNAcentral.
GGCAGCACGAUGUAGCAAUACAUUGGUGGCGACCGGCGCACGGGUGAGUAACGCGUAUGCAACCUACCUAUCAGAGGGGAAUAACCCGGCGAAAGUCGGACUAAUACCGCAUAAAACAGGGGUUCCACAUGGAAAUAUUUGUUAAAGAAUUAUCGCUGAUAGAUGGGCAUGCGUUCCAUUAGAUAGUUGGUGAGGUAACGGCUCACCAAGUCCACGAUGGAUAGGGGUUCUGAGAGGAAGGUCCCCCACACUGGUACUGAGACACGGACCAGACUCCUACGGGAGGCAGCAGUGAGGAAUAUUGGUCAAUGGGCGAGAGCCUGAACCAGCCAAGUCGCGUGAAGGAUGAAGGAUCUAUGGUUUGUAAACUUCUUUUAUAUGGGAAUAAAGUGAGGAACGUGUUCCUUUUUGUAUGUACCAUAUGAAUAAGCAUCGGCUAACUCCGUGCCAGCAGCCGCGGUAAUACGGAGGAUGCGAGCGUUAUCCGGAUUUAUUGGGUUUAAAGGGUGC